AGUGAACGCUGGCGGCAGGCCUAAUACAUGCAAGUCGAACGGCAGCACAGCAGAGCUUGCUCUGUGGGUGGCGAGUGGCGGACGGGUGAGGAAUACGUGGGAAUCUGCCCAGUCGUGGGGAUAACGUAGGGAAACUUACGCUAAUACCGCAUGCGCCCUUCGGGGAAAGCCGGGGACCUUCGGGCCUGGCGCGAUUGGAUGAGCCCACGUCGGAUUAGCUAGUUGGCGGGGUAAAGGCCCACCGAGGCGACGAUCCGUAGCUGGUCUGAGAGGAUGAUCAGCCACACUGGAACUGAGACACGGUCCAGACUCCUACGGGAGGCAGCAGUAGGGAAUAUUGGACAAUGGGCGCAAGCCUGAUCCAGCCAUGCCGCGUGAGUGAAGAAAGCCCUCGGGUUGUAAAGCUCUUUGUCCGGAAAGAAAAGACGCCGGGUUAAUACCCUGGUGUCCUGACGGUACCGGAAGAAUAAAGCACCGGCUAAC
This 483-nucleotide ribosomal RNA is filed under the name uncultured bacterium. Its description in RNAcentral is "bacterial SSU rRNA". It matches the Rfam family "Bacterial small subunit ribosomal RNA", at positions 29 to 501 of the family's 1533-position model. The record is from RNAcentral.